UUUUCCAUUGCAUUAGGUCCUUCCAAUUCUCAAAAACUGCCCAAUGGAUGAUUGUCACUUAUUAAUUUCUUGGGAGGCCUUCCCCUCCUCUUCUUGGGGUUUCCAUCCUCCUCCACACUUACCUUGUUAAUUCCUUGCUUUUUCCUUUGCUCACACAUAGACAAUGAUUCUCUCUUAGUCAUGUUUUCCUUGUUUCCUCGUUUCGGUUUUGGUGGCCUUCCUCGCCGCCCCAGACUCCGAGCAUGCUUUGAUGGAUCCAAAUCUUCAUGUGCCAAUAACAUUGGUUUAGGAAGCUGAUAAUCACCAGUGAUAGGAGAAGUAACCAACUCGCCUCUCUCAAGGAGCUUGCCAAGAUGGUGAGAGAGAAGGCUCUCAUGAGCCCAAGCCAGAUCAUGGAACUCUGACUUAAUAUUAGCGGAUAUAGCAGCUUUGUUUGCACCACCUUCCUCAUAAUUCAGUGAGUUAAUGGCUUUAAAUAUCAUCUGCGAUUUAUUACAGAGUGUGUGUAUAAAUAAAUAAAUAAAUAUAUAUAUAUAUAUAAAUAUAUAUAUAGAGAGAGAGAGAUGAAAUGAAACAAAAAAAGAGGGACUAUUAUUUAUACAUUAAUAUAGAAGUUUUUGAACAUUAAUAAAUGUGGGUAUCUUUAUCUUACCUGUGAGUAAGGUGGGUGAUCUGGGGUGUGCAAGUGCAUGUAUGUAUUUCGAAGGCCGGCGUGGAUCUUGUUCAUUUCGUUUUCGUCCCUGCACAGUGGGUGCGUUUGUUUGGAUGAAGCUAGUUCAACAGUCUUGUUGAGUUGAGGGGUGUUGCUGUUGCAUCCCUCCCUUUUCCUGUCCCAUAUCAACGCCAUUUGUCCUCCUCUCCUCUCUCCUUCCCUUGAGCUAGCUCUCUAUAGAUAUAGAAUAGAAUCAUGCAUUCGGAAGAUAAUUAGGGGCCCACUUGAAAGGACUUCAUAAGUUCUGAAUUCCCACCGCACCCCGCAGAAAAAGUAUUCUCAAAAUGUCUGCUGACUGACUCUGCUGCAUAUUUGGUUUAGCAGAAUUUUUAAAGUCUUAAUAUUUUAAAUAGCACAAUUUGUAAAUGAAUGAACCACUUGUUGGGAGGCUGUAGCAUUUGCCGAAACUUUCAUUAAGUGCUAAAGUUUUGGAUUAAAAGCUAAUGAUUGCAAGAAAUUCAUUCUUUACUGUUUUCAUUAA
RNAcentral lists this long non-coding RNA (1193 nucleotides) under Prunus persica (peach). RNAcentral's name for it is "long non-coding RNA (PPER_LNC005537)". Lineage: Eukaryota; Viridiplantae; Streptophyta; Magnoliopsida; Rosales; Rosaceae. The record is from RNAcentral.